Molecule: ribosomal RNA, 802 nt
Filed under: uncultured bacterium
Lineage: Bacteria
Description: bacterial SSU rRNA
Rfam family: Bacterial small subunit ribosomal RNA
Source: RNAcentral
CGCUGGCGGCGUGCCUACACAUGCAAGUCGAGCGGAGUACCCCAAGAAAAAUUUUCGAAUGGAUCUUGGACGUACUUAGCGGCGGACGGGUGAGUAACGCGUGGGCAACCUGCCCUGUACAGAGGAAUAACAUUGGGAAACCAGUGCUAAUACCUUAUAACACUUUUAAAAGGCAUCUUUUAAAAGUCAAAGUUUUUCGGUACAGGAUGGGCCCGCGUCUGAUUAGUUAGUUGGUAGGGUAAUGGCUUACCAAGACGAUGAUCAGUAGCCGACCUGAGAGGGUGAUCGGCCACACUGGAACUGAGACACGGUCCAGACUCCUACGGGAGGCAGCAGUGGGGAAUAUUGCACAAUGGGCGCAAGCCUGAUGCAGCAACGCCGCGUGAGCGAUGAAGGCCUUCGGGUCGUAAAGCUCUGUCCUAAGGGAAGAUAUAGACGGUACCUUAGGAGGAAGCCCCGGCUAACUACGUGCCAGCAGCCGCGGUAAUACGUAGGGGGCAAGCGUUAUCCGGAAUUACUGGGCGUAAAGGGUGCGUAGGCGGUCUGGUAAGUCAGAGGUGAAAGACUAUUGCUCAACAAUAGCAAGCCUUUGAAACUACCGGACUUGAGUGCAGGAGAGGAGAGUGGAAUUUCUAGUGUAGCGGUGAAAUGCGUAGAUAUUAGAAGGAACACCAGUGGCGAAGGCGACUCUCUGGUCUGCAACUGACGCUGAGGCACGAAAGCGUGGGGAGCGAACAGGAUUAGAUACCCUGGUAGUCCACGCCGUAAACGAUGAGUGCUAGGUGUCGGGGGUCAAACCUCG